GAUCAUAAGUCGUUCUAAUAACGAGUAGAUAUCGUAGCACUCUUCCAUCAUCGUCUCUUUCUUUUGAUGCCAAUCUCCUCCCUGCUCGCUCUCCCGUUCAGGUAUUAUUGCGACAUGCUUAGGAAUUUCAAGCUUGUAGCAUGCUGUUGUUAAAUAUUAUUACUACGCUUAAUUGAUCCCCCCCCCCCCCCCCCCAACCCUAGCUAGGUCAUAUCUGAAGCUCAGCCAUUAAGGCAAAUCUAUUUCUAAUCGACCUUCUUCUAUACCAAGUCAGAUAUAUCAUAUAUCUUCUACGUUUUCCCAUAUUUAGAGCUAGUUUGAGAAUUUUUUUCAAGGGAUUUUUAUUUUUCCAAGGAAAAUUAGUUUAUUUUUCCUUAAAAAAAUGAAAAUUCCUUAGGAAAUGUGGUUCCCAGACUAGCCCUUAUGUACCCUUUUCUACUUCGGUUUAAUUUUGUUCUUUCGUUUGCACGAAUGAAACAUGCUGAGGCUAUUUGAUGCAAAAAAAAAAAAAAACAUUGUUGUUCAUGUUAUCCCCUGAAAUCACAUUAGUUCGGAUGUGGAGUGAAUAUUCUUACAUAUUAAUUAAUUAAUUACAAGCCUGAUUUCAU
Molecule: long non-coding RNA, 608 nt
Filed under: Zea mays
Lineage: Eukaryota; Viridiplantae; Streptophyta; Magnoliopsida; Poales; Poaceae
Description: long non-coding RNA NONZMAT003959
Source: RNAcentral